GGCUGGUUCCAUGAGGUGACUUCUGCCCAGUGCUCUGAUUGUCAUUGCGAAGAGAUUCAGCCAAGCGCGGGUAAACGGCGGGAGUAACUAUGACUCUCUUAAGGUAGCCAAAUGCCUCGUCAACCAAUUAUUGACGCGCAUGAAUGGAUCAACGAGAUUCCUGCUGUCCCUAGGUGCUGUCCGGUGAACCAACAGCCAAGGGAACGGGCUUGGAUGUGUUAGCGGGGAAAGAAGACCCUGUUGAGUUUGACUCUAGUUUGAUGCUGUGCAACAACAUGGAGGGUGUAGCAUAGGUGGGAGGAAAGUGCCAUGAAGGAAUGAAGCCUGAAGCCAACGAGUUCUCUACGAGUUCUCUACGAGUUCUCUACCAGUGAAUGAAUGUCUGAAGGCCACACGAGUUCUCUACGAGUUCUCUACGAGUGAAUGAGUGUCUGAAGAGGAGCAAGUCUCCAUUGGUGCAAUCCAGCAGUGAAAUACCACUACCUUCACCGUUGUUUUACUCACUGAGUGACAAGGGAACAGCAGCCAUUGGACAUCAAGCCUUGCAUUCCUGUGAGGUUUGUGGCUACUACCUGCUUCGUGAUUCAAGUACUGUUAUCACUUGUGGUGACAGUGUGACUCUGUAUGGUUUCCAUACCAUAUCUGUUCGUUCGGAGCCUUGGGACAUUGAUCAGUUGGGGAGUUUGGCUGGGGCGGCACGCCUGUUACAAGACAACGCAGGCGUCCUGAAGCAAUGCUCAGAUGGGAGAGAAACCUUGCAUAGAGGAGCAGGCCAAAGGUGCUGCUGAUGAUGCUGCUUCCAGUACAAGCACGAAAUGUGUAAACAUGGCCUUGCGAUCCUUUGGUCAAGUGUACGAGUUCGGGAUAUUGAAGCCAGAGGUGUCAGAAAAAUUACCACAGGGAUAACUGGCUUGUGGCUGCCAAGCGUUCAAAGCGACGUCGCUUUUUGAUCCUUCGAUGUCGGCUCUUCCUAGCUUCCCACCCGCAGCCGAGUGGAAGAGUUGGAUUGUUCACCCACCAACAGGGAACGUGA
Molecule: ribosomal RNA, 1033 nt
Filed under: Phacus acuminatus
Lineage: Eukaryota; Euglenozoa; Euglenophyceae; Euglenales; Phacaceae
Description: partial 26S large subunit ribosomal RNA
Rfam family: Eukaryotic large subunit ribosomal RNA
Source: RNAcentral